This 208-nucleotide ribosomal RNA is filed under the name uncultured bacterium. RNAcentral's name for it is "partial 16S ribosomal RNA". It matches the Rfam family "Bacterial small subunit ribosomal RNA", at positions 1285 to 1500 of the family's 1533-position model. The record is from RNAcentral.
UUCUCAGUUCGGAUCGGAGUCUGCAACCCGACUCCGUGAAGCUGGAUUCGCUAGUAAUCGCGCAUCAGCCAUGGCGCGGUGAAUACGUUCCCGGGCCUUGUACACACCGCCCGUCAAGCCAUGGGANCCGGGGGUGCUUGAAGUGCGUCGCCGCAAGGCGCGCCCUAGAGCAAAACCGGUGACUGGGGCUAAGUCGUAACAAGGUAGC